GAUGAACGCUGGCGGCGUGCUUAACACAUGCAAGUCGAGCGAAGCACUUAGGAAAGAUUCUUCGGAUGAUUUCCUAUUUGACUGAGCGGCGGACGGGUGAGUAACGCGUGGGUAACCUGCCUCAUACAGGGGGAUAACAGUUAGAAAUGACUGCUAAUACCGCAUAAGACCACAGCACCGCAUGGUGCAGGGGUAAAAACUCCGGUGGUAUGAGAUGGACCCGCGUCUGAUUAGUUAGUUGGUGGGGUAACGGCCUACCAAGGCGACGAUCAGUAGCCGACCUGAGAGGGUGACCGGCCACAUUGGGACUGAGACACGGCCCAAACUCCUACGGGAGGCAGCAGUGGGGAAUAUUGCACAAUGGGGGAAACCCUGAUGCAGCGACGCCGCGUGAGCGAAGAAGUAUUUCGGUAUGUAAAGCUCUAUCAGCAGGGAAGAAAAUGACGGUACCUGACUAAGAAGCCC
RNAcentral lists this ribosomal RNA (465 nucleotides) under uncultured bacterium. RNAcentral describes it as "bacterial SSU rRNA". It matches the Rfam family "Bacterial small subunit ribosomal RNA", at positions 28 to 493 of the family's 1533-position model. The record is from RNAcentral.